This 484-nucleotide ribosomal RNA is filed under the name uncultured bacterium. RNAcentral describes it as "partial 16S ribosomal RNA". It matches the Rfam family "Bacterial small subunit ribosomal RNA", at positions 30 to 507 of the family's 1533-position model. The record is from RNAcentral.
AUUGAACGCUGGCGGCAGGCCUAACACAUGCAAGUCGAGCGGAUGAGGGGAGCUUGCUCCUGGAUUCAGCGGCGGACGGGUGAGUAAUGCCUAGGAAUCUGCCUGGUAGUGGGGGAUAACGUCCGGAAACGGGCGCUAAUACCGCAUACGUCCUGAGGGAGAAAGUGGGGGAUCUUCGGACCUCACGCUAUCAGAUGAGCCUAGGUCGGAUUAGCUAGUUGGUGGGGUAAAGGCCUACCAAGGCGACGAUCCGUAACUGGUCUGAGAGGAUGAUCAGUCACACUGGAACUGAGACACGGUCCAGACUCCUACGGGAGGCAGCGGUGGGGAAUAUUGGACAAUGGGCGAAAGCCUGAUCCAGCCAUGCCGCGUGUGUGAAGAAGGUCUUCGGAUUGUAAAGCACUUUAAGUUGGGAGGAAGGGCAGUAAGUUAAUACCUUGCUGUUUUGACGUUACCAACAGAAUAAGCACCGGCUAACUUCGUG